Molecule: ribosomal RNA, 429 nt
Filed under: Verrucomicrobiota bacterium
Lineage: Bacteria; Pseudomonadati; Verrucomicrobiota
Description: Verrucomicrobia bacterium partial 16S ribosomal RNA
Rfam family: Bacterial small subunit ribosomal RNA
Source: RNAcentral
UAGGGAAUCUUCGGCAAUGGGGGGAACCCUGACCGAGCAACGCCGCGUGAGUGAAGAAGGUUUUCGGAUCGUAAAGCUCUGUUGUUAAGGAAGAACGAGUGUGAGAAUGGAAAGUUCAUGCUGUGACGGUACUUAACCAGAAAGGGACGGCCAACUACGUGCCAGCAGCCGCGGUAAUACGUAGGUCCCGAGCGUUGUCCGGCUUUAUUGGGCGUAAAGCGAGCGCAGGCGGUUAGAAAAGUCUGAAGUGAAAGGCAGUGGCUCAACCAUUGUAGGCUUUGGAAACUGUGUAACUUGAGUGCAGAAGGGGAGAGUGGAAUUCCAUGUGUAGCGGUGAAAUGCGUAGAUAUAUGGAGGAACACCGGUGGCGAAAGCGGCUCUCUGGUCUGUAGCUGACGCUGAGGCUCGAAAGCGUGGGGAGCGAACAGG